Molecule: ribosomal RNA, 1551 nt
Filed under: Salmonella enterica
Lineage: Bacteria; Pseudomonadati; Pseudomonadota; Gammaproteobacteria; Enterobacterales; Enterobacteriaceae
Description: bacterial LSU rRNA
Rfam family: Bacterial large subunit ribosomal RNA
Source: RNAcentral
GGUAUCAGAAGUGCGAAUGCUGACAUAAGUAACGAUAAAGCGGGUGAAAAGCCCGCUCGCCGGAAGACCAAGGGUUCCUGUCCAACGUUAAUCGGGGCAGGGUGAGUCGACCCCUAAGGCGAGGCCGAAAGGCGUAGUCGAUGGGAAACGGGUUAAUAUUCCCGUACUUGGUGUUACUGCGAAGGGGGGACGGAGAAGGCUAUGUUGGCCGGGCGACGGUUGUCCCGGUUUAAGCGUGUAGGUGUGUGUUCCAGGUAAAUCCGGUUCACUUUAACACUGAGGCGUGACGACGAGGCACUACGGUGCUGAAGCAACAAAUGCCCUGCUUCCAGGAAAAGCCUCUAAGCAUCAGGUAACAUCAAAUCGUACCCCAAACCGACACAGGUGGUCAGGUAGAGAAUACCAAGGCGCUUGAGAGAACUCGGGUGAAGGAACUAGGCAAAAUGGUGCCGUAACUUCGGGAGAAGGCACGCUGAUAUGUAGGUGAAGCGGUUUACCCGUGGAGCUGAAAUCAGUCGAAGAUACCAGCUGGCUGCAACUGUUUAUUAAAAACACAGCACUGUGCAAACACGAAAGUGGACGUAUACGGUGUGACGCCUGCCCGGUGCCGGAAGGUUAAUUGAUGGGGUCAGCGCAAGCGAAGCUCCUGAUCGAAGCCCCGGUAAACGGCGGCCGUAACUAUAACGGUCCUAAGGUAGCGAAAUUCCUUGUCGGGUAAGUUCCGACCUGCACGAAUGGCGUAAUGAUGGCCAGGCUGUCUCCACCCGAGACUCAGUGAAAUUGAACUCGCUGUGAAGAUGCAGUGUACCCGCGGCAAGACGGAAAGACCCCGUGAACCUUUACUAUAGCUUGACACUGAACAUUGAGCCUUGAUGUGUAGGAUAGGUGGGAGGCUUUGAAGCGUGGACGCCAGUCUGCGUGGAGCCGACCUUGAAAUACCACCCUUUAAUGUUUGAUGUUCUAACGUGGACCCGUAAUCCGGGUUGCGGACAGUGUCUGGUGGGUAGUUUGACUGGGGCGGUCUCCUCCUAAAGAGUAACGGAGGAGCACGAAGGUUGGCUAAUCCUGGUCGGACAUCAGGAGGUUAGUGCAAUGGCAUAAGCCAGCUUGACUGCGAGCGUGACGGCGCGAGCAGGUGCGAAAGCAGGUCAUAGUGAUCCGGUGGUUCUGAAUGGAAGGGCCAUCGCUCAACGGAUAAAAGGUACUCCGGGGAUAACAGGCUGAUACCGCCCAAGAGUUCAUAUCGACGGCGGUGUUUGGCACCUCGAUGUCGGCUCAUCACAUCCUGGGGCUGAAGUAGGUCCCAAGGGUAUGGCUGUUCGCCAUUUAAAGUGGUACGCGAGCUGGGUUUAGAACGUCGUGAGACAGUUCGGUCCCUAUCUGCCGUGGGCGCUGGAGAACUGAGGGGGGCUGCUCCUAGUACGAGAGGACCGGAGUGGACGCAUCACUGGUGUUCGGGUUGUCAUGCCAAUGGCACUGCCCGGUAGCUAAAUGCGGAAGAGAUAAGUGCUGAAAGCAUCUAAGCACGAAACUUGCCCCGAGAUGAGUUCU